Molecule: transfer RNA, 73 nt
Filed under: Strongyloides venezuelensis
Lineage: Eukaryota; Metazoa; Nematoda; Chromadorea; Rhabditida; Strongyloididae
Rfam family: tRNA
About the family: Transfer RNA (tRNA) molecules are approximately 80 nucleotides in length. Their secondary structure includes four short double-helical elements and three loops (D, anti-codon, and T loops). Further hydrogen bonds mediate the characteristic L-shaped molecular structure. tRNAs have two regions of fundamental functional importance: the anti-codon, which is responsible for specific mRNA codon recognition, and the 3' end, to which the tRNAs corresponding amino acid is attached (by aminoacyl-tRNA synthetases). tRNAs cope with the degeneracy of the genetic code in two manners: having more than one tRNA (with a specific anti-codon) for a particular amino acid; and 'wobble' base-pairing, i.e. permitting non-standard base-pairing at the 3rd anti-codon position.
Source: Rfam by way of RNAcentral
GAUCUUGUAGCGUAUACGCUAACGCAUCUGUCUUUAGAGCAGAAAAUUGUAGGUUCGAGUUUUGUCAAGAUCU